Long non-coding RNA from Scylla paramamosain (green mud crab), 555 nucleotides. RefSeq lists it as uncharacterized. The record is from RefSeq and is a predicted model, not a curated record. The transcript has 4 exons. Lineage: Eukaryota; Metazoa; Arthropoda; Malacostraca; Decapoda; Portunidae.
CUCGUCUCCUUAUCUGUCCAGCCUUCAGAGUGAGGGAGCUCAGAUUCCUAACUUUCUCGGUAACUUCUGGAAAACAUGAGGCACUUUAUUCUGCUGUCGGCGGUGGUGGUGAUGGUGGCAGCGAUGCCCGGUGUAAAGGCUUCACCAGAUCCAAACUGCGCCCCCCACUGCAAUGUUGUGAAGAAGCAGACACGCGUGUGUGACUCUGACAUCCAGAAGGCAAAAAUGGAGAAGUGUUGGUCAGGAACCUUAAAAUGAUCAGCGUGGAGCAAAACUGGGAUGGGCAUGAAUGGAAAAGUUCUCGAAACAAACGAUGGGCCAGUAAUAAAACCAGAAAAUUAGGAAAAUGAACACCAAGAUGAACCGCAAACUACUGAACAACUAGCUGGGUUUGCUAGGCCAACCAGCGCUGAAGGAGGAAGCGAGUGCCACAGAUCUACAGCAGUACCACAACUCUCGCCACGACGGCAGUUAACUUCUUAACUCUUCUUUGUUCCUUUGCUUUCUUUUCCUCAGGAGUGCAAUUGUCGAGCAAAUAAACGAUCAGUAAGCAUU